AUUGAACGCUGGCGGCAGGCCUAACACAUGCAGGUCGAACGGUAACAGGAAGCAGCUUGCUGCUUCGCUGACGAGUGGCGGACGGGUGAGUAAUGUCUGGGAAACUGCCUGACGGAGGGGGAUAACUACUGGAAACGGUAGCUAAUACCGCAUAACGUCGCAAGACCAAAGAGGGGGACCUUAGGGCCUCUUGCCAUCGGAUGUGCCCAGAUGGGAUUAGCUAGUAGGUGGGGUAACGGCUCACCUAGGCGACGAUCCCUAGCUGGUCUGAGAGGAUGACCAGCCACACUGGAACUGAGACACGGUCCAGACUCCUACGGGAGGCAGCAGUGGGGAAUAUUGCACAAUGGGCGCAAGCCUGAUGCAGCCAUGCCGCGUGUAUGAAGAAGGCCUUCGGGUUGUAAAGUACUUUCAGCGGGGAGGAAGGGAGUAAAGUUAAUACCUUUGCUCAUUGACGUUACCCGCAGAAGAAGCACCGGCUAACUCCGUG
This 490-nucleotide ribosomal RNA is filed under the name uncultured bacterium. RNAcentral describes it as "partial 16S ribosomal RNA". It matches the Rfam family "Bacterial small subunit ribosomal RNA", at positions 30 to 507 of the family's 1533-position model. The record is from RNAcentral.